UUUCCCGCCGCACAACUCUGACCCCGCUAAUCCUUAAUUACCAUGUCUGAUUAUUCCCUCGCAGCGGGGUCAAUUUAGUAAUUACUGAAGUGGUCGGAUCAAAGUCCCCAGCAGGGCUACAAGAGAAGGAUUGAGAUGAUAAAAGGAGGAGAGAAAAAAAAAAACUGUCAAAAUGCCUACCGAUAUAAUGUUGUCAGUUCCACCUCAAUAAGGCUUUUAAAAAAAACAUGUAUCAAGUAAGACCGCUAAUUAGCAGAAGUCUUUGAUGCGAGCGUCUCCACCACAGAAGAGUCUGCUUUGCCGUUCUUCCUUUAAAGAUGUCGCGCUGGCCCUUAUUGAUGCCCGUCCCCCGCCCCCCCACCCCCACCACGGUUUGCCGUGGGUCUCCGGAUCGAUUUCUUCAUUGCGCGUACUCUCUUUUUUUACCGCAACGUCGAUGGCGGGCUCGCGGCCUUACUCAGCAGUGAGGCCGGGCGGCUGUUUGCAUGACCUAACCGCAAACUCCCCGGGUACCCGCUCUCUCUCCCCGGCCAAUCGAACGCUGAGCCGCUGAGUUAUGCCUCUCCGGAGGACAAGCCCGAUUGUCCUUCGGUUUUUUUUUGUUCCAGAACGAGCGGACUGCGCCGUAAACGUGGGCAGAACGGCCCCGGAAAGGGAAGCUUUAAUCAGCGACGAUCGUGUACCCCCCCGUGGCAUCCUUCACUUCCGCCGUCACCCCCACCCCCACCCCCCCCACACACACACUUUCUUUGAAAAGUAAGGAUUCCUUUCUCGAAAAAAGAAAAGAACCCGGUUCCCGCGCGUCCCCUGGCAGCGCUGCGGCGCUUCGAGAGGUGGAUCUCAGACGCGCCGCCUUCGCCGAUCUGCCCGGGGAAUUCGGCGGGAGCGCUCUAAUUGUCUGGUCGGUGCUGCUGCUCUCGGUGGCAGAACGGGACUCGGAGAGAGGCGCGGGGGAAACCCCCGCCGGGGCGACUGCCGCGGUGUCCCGCGCGCAGAGGAAGCGCGCCGGGCCGGCGGGGACGUCUGCCGCGCCGGGAACCAAAUCGGAGAUCCCUCCGGAAGGCCGAGAACGCACCGGAAGGUUGCUGUAAAAGGACACAAGUAUGACGUCAUCUUCCCACACGUGCUCUAACACCUGCACACACACACACACACGCACAUUCACACACACAAACACACACACACUCAUGCACGCACACAUGCAUACACACACGCACGUGCACAAACACACACACACAAAUGCACUCAGUCGCACACGUGUGCUCUCACACACAAGCGCACACGUUCACACAUGCGUAAGCACACACCACGCACACAAACCACACCCGCACACGCUUACACAGACCCGCACACGCUUACACAGACCCGCACACGCAGGGUAACGGAGGUCAUUUCGCUUGGUUGACGCAGGGUUAAAAUAAAACGCCAAGCAACUUAGCCAUGGACUCAUAUCCUGCCAUACAAACAGCGCACAAGCAUCCGCCUUGCAAGAGACCAGAAUUUCAUUAUCUGAAGAGCAGCCCUCCCACUCGGUAAUUUCCCUCUGGGGUUCAUUCCUCUGUCUCCUGGUUACGUAAUAUGUCAAAUAUUCAUAUACAUAUUUUUACCUGGGCUCUGACCCGCUCCUCCUCAAGUCACAGAGAAGCUAAAUAAAGAUUUUUAGACUUUGAAUUCAUUGAAGAUUCAAGCGACUAGCUGGGUUUACAAAAACUGGCAAACUUAGCAAUCUUUUUAAAAAAUAAUGAAGCCAUUCCAAGGGAUAAGCAGUGAUAUAAUAUAGCAGUAUUGUACCUAUUUGUGGAAUUACUUCAAUUAGCAUGGAAAGUGUGUGUACAAACUUAUGUCUUUCCCUAGCCGGCGAAUGCGCCAACGUUUUGGAAAUCCGAUCUGCAAACACAGCAUCAGGUAAUUACGUUGCAGUGCGUAAACAUCAGCAAUCAGUCCUCAGCGCCAUACACUGAGCGUAUGCCCACUUCCUGUCAUGUGAGUCACAUUUCUUCUGAGUUUUUCAAAACCUUAGUGGUCAAUUGCAGUAUACUUGGCUGGUUUCCCCUGGACCACAGAACUGCAUAACAACUGGAGCGGCUGUCCAAAGCUGUGGAGUAAGGAAACGAGCCAUUCCAGUUCGAAAUGCAGUUCUGCGGUCCAGAGAUUUAAACUCUGAGCUAAGCUAGAGGUCCAGUAAACUGCCUUAACCACUGGCCCUACAUUAGUGAGCACACCGGAAGAUGGUAGCCUAGAAGAAAAUGUCAGCUUGUACCAGCAACUGCACGUGUGUGUACGAGGGAGGGGAUCUGAUUGACCUGGCAGGUCACCCACAGGCCCCAGAGCACCAGGGAGGCCCCGCCUCUCCCGCGUAAUAGCGCGCAAUGCUGUUGCCGUGGCGUCCGCACCUUUGAUAUCGCGCUGCUGUGGGUGUGUGGAAAGGGCCACGCCGUACCGCUGGUUUGUCAGGAGCGGAGCGGCCCCUCGUCAGGAUGAAAGGACGGCGGGGUGGCCGUGUUUAUCUGAAUCAACAGAUGCAGGCUUCCUGGGAUCAGUCCCUUCAGCAUGUCGGGGGGGCUCUGCAGGGAAACCAGCGCGAUGCCGAUGCCCGGCGGCCAUGACACUGCGGGUCACACGAUUGCUCACUGGGGCAAAUAAGUUUCUCUGAGCUCAUCAUCUGUCCGCUGCGACACCAUCACAAGUCUGAAGACGACGGCGGUGUGAAGGGAUUGUUUCCCUCACAAGUUCAAGUCCUUGUGAACUUAAGGAACCCCCCCCCCCAUCCACCACCCUGCCCUCUCGCUGCCCCUCCCCCCCUACUGAAGGCUACUGCUCCGGUCCUCCCUGCCUGCAGAGAGGGUCCUCUACAGUCCUGGAGAAGGCCGCAAAACCAUCAAGCUCCAGGGUCACAGGAGGAUAGUCAACGCCAUCGAGCAGUUCCUGUGGGAGGCGAGGAACAUGAAGACCUCCCAAAAGACAUCAGCGGACCUGACCCCUCUCCAGAGGAGGAUUUAGAACCUCCGCCAGGACAACGUUUUCAAAAAAUGAAAGCCCUGGCGAGACAGAAAUUGGGGGGUGGACCAUUGGGAAGAACUGGUCAUUUAGUCCACCCCCCUGAGAAGAACACCCAUUUCAUCAGUCAAACUUAGACCCCCAGCACAUGUACUGCUUUGCCUUUUUAAAACUGCUACUGUCAUUGUGGUUUUGUGUUUGAUGUAUAUGUAUGUGGUGUUUUUAUUAUUUAAAAGAAUGGAUUUCAUUGUUGUUUAGUUUUUUCACAACUUGUUCUUUCCAUGUUCUUCCUUAUAAUUUUUGACAUUUAAAAAAAAAUGUGUUCUGAAACUGUUCAGAAAUU
Long non-coding RNA from Anguilla rostrata (American eel), 3340 nucleotides. RefSeq lists it as uncharacterized. The transcript has 3 exons. The record is from RefSeq and is a predicted model, not a curated record. NCBI's taxonomy places the organism in Eukaryota, Metazoa, Chordata, Actinopteri, Anguilliformes, Anguillidae.